RNAcentral lists this long non-coding RNA (1140 nucleotides) under Canis lupus familiaris (dog). RNAcentral describes it as "lncRNA (ENSCAFG00030015313.1)". The record is from RNAcentral. Lineage: Eukaryota; Metazoa; Chordata; Mammalia; Carnivora; Canidae.
AUGUGCUGUAAGGUACCAAGCAAAAGAAAUGUAAGGCAUUGGCUUUUUCGGGUAGCCUCGUUUUUCAGGUGGGGAAAACGAGGCACCCACAGCUCCCACGCUCUACCAAAGUCCUUGCACUGUGCGGAGGAAAGCAGAGGCCAGAAGUUUAGAACAUCUUCCCUGCAUGGGAGAAAGGCCUCCUUUGCUGCCAAGAAGCUUUCAGAAAUUUGGAACAUCUUUCUCAAAUACACCCUUCUCCACCUCAUCCCAGAUGAAACCUGGAUUUCCCCUGAUGACAUCAUUUUUCCUAUAAUCCGCAAGGUGAGUCUUCUCAUUCCCCACACACCCUUUCCCCAGCACCUUAGAGUUAGGAUAAUUGUGGCUGUGAAAUCUAUCCACCUUUGUCCAAUAACACCUUCUCCCCUCAUUGUCAGUUUUACAUACCCAACUAAGUCUUGAUACCUGUCCACUUAGAGUUGUCCUCUGCAUUGUUGGGGAGCAUCACUACUAUUGUGAAAUUUUAAAAUAAAGCCCUGCCACCCCCUUGGAGCAUGCAUGCUACAUGGAGUCGCCCAUGUGAAGAGCCACUCCACAGUAAUGAACACUUGGGAAUUUGCAGUGUGUGUGCUUGUAUCUUUCUAUUUGAAGAUCACUUUGAAAACAGAUCUUGUUUGCUUAGUCUCUGUCUCCUGGAUGUGUAUAACAUGGCUCAGCUGGUUGACAAUCACCUCAGUUUUAGUUGCUUGAAGAAAGCCACUUCUCUCUUUGAGGUGUUUCCCCAAAGCAGAAUUGAAAAAAAAUGCCCCACCAAUGAAUUUUAAUGAAUCCAGAGUAUUCCAUAAUACUCCACAAUUCCCCAAUAAGUGGACACUUGAGUCACUUCAAAUUUUUCAUGUAAACACCACAGUAGCAAUCAUCAUGGAAACAUAACUUUGCAUAAUGUGUCUGGUUAUUUUCUUAGAAGAAAUUUCCAGAAGUAAGACAUGGGGUCAAAGUCUUUGAAUGUUUAUAGCUUCUGACAAAUAUUGACACCUUGCUUUCUAGAGUGGUUGUAACAGUUUACACUCCAUCAGCCCUGGUGGAGUGUCUCACCACACCCUUUUUUUUCUAUGUAAUCUUUUAAACAAAUCUUUGCAGAGCAACCACCCAGACUGGAGC